UUUUUUGAGACAGAGUCUCUCACUCUGUCACCCAGGCUGGAGUGCAGUGGCGCGAUCUCGGCUCACUGCAAACUCCGUCUCCCAGGUUCACACCAUUCUCCUGCCUCAGCCUCCCAAGUAGCUGGGACUACAGGCGGCUGCCACCACGCCCAGCUAAAUCAAUGAUAUCCUUUCUUCUGCUUGAUCAAAUCGGCUAUUGAAGCUUGUAUGUGCUUCACGAAGUUCUCGUACUGUGGUUUUCAGCACCAUCAGGUCAUUUAAGCUCUUCUCUACACUGGUUAUUCUAGUUAACCAUUCGUCUAAACUUUUUUCAAGGUUUUUAGCUUCCUUGCGAUGGGUAGAACAUCCUCCUUUAACUCACAGAAGUUUGUUAUUACCGACCUUCUGAAGCCAACUUCUGUCAUCUCGUCAAACUCAUUCUCCAUCCAGUUUUCUUCCCUUGCUGGUGAGGAGUUGUGUUCCUUUGGAAGAGAAGAGGUGUUCUGGUUUUUGGAAUUUUCAGCCUUUCUGCUCUGGUUUCUCCCCAUCUCUGUGGUUUUAUCU
This 543-nucleotide long non-coding RNA is filed under the name Homo sapiens (human). RNAcentral describes it as "non-protein coding lnc-GTF2H5-1:1". The record is from RNAcentral. Lineage: Eukaryota; Metazoa; Chordata; Mammalia; Primates; Hominidae.